CAUACAGCGCACACACAAAAAUCUUUAGCCUGCCUUUUGAUAAUGACCAUAGACAGCGCUAGGACUCUUCUGUUGAGCCGUGGUGCACCAUGGGGCUGUCUGGAUCAUCUCUCAUUUACAAUUAAACAAAAUCAUAAGUUGAGCUUGGCUGGCAUCCAGUCUCCUUUCCCCACUUCCCAGAGCUGCGUGCACUGCCUCUGCUCCAAUCAGAACUCGAAAGCCUCCAUGUGCUGGAGCUGAGCUCCAGCCCUUAAAUAGCUCUUUGCUAAGGAAACAGCUGUUAAGGUCCAUGGAUCAGAGAUGCUGCCAUAAGCUCACCUGCCAGACCCCUUUCUCUCCUCCUGCUUUCACAACAGUGGUGCACUUGACCAGAGUCACUUGGUCCCUGUUGUUUUCAUCUGGGAGUUGUAUGCUCAAUAUCUCUGGCCAGCACGCAAACAGCACAGAGCAUGGAGAUUCUGGGAAGGUGUGAGUCCUUUUCCCUCUGGAUAACUGUGCUGUCCUUUGGAAGGGUUCUCUCCAUGGAUUUCUCUUACCUGGGAUCCUCCCUGAGCCUGCAGUCCUCCUUCCAGGAGAACACAACACAGGUACUUUUAUAUUACCGAGGGAUUGCUUCUCCUUGUUCCAGUACCGAAGAUGGGAUUUGCAGGGCUGUGAACUGCACUUCCAGAGUUCCCUCCGCAGGUUUACAGAACUCCACAGCCCUGUGCCAGCUAGAGGGAGAGGCGGCCAUCUUCCCCGCUUCCCCUGGAUCCUUCCCCAUGAGGUAAGGUGGGUGUUAAUGUCUUCGGUGAAUGUAGAGCUGGUGAAAAGUGCUUGGCUGACAGGUACAGAGCAUGGCAGGGCCAGUUGCCCCACAUACUGCCCCACCAGCAUGCCUCAGCCAGACUUUCAGGCAACCCUUCGAGGGUUGGAAAAGCCAAAUCCAGCCGUUCGCUUCUCUGCUCAGAUCGGGGUGGGGAGGUGGGUUUGUGAUGCUAGCCAGGAACAGCCUUUGCCUUCCUUGCAGAGGAUGGGGGGAGAGAUAGCCGCAUCAGAGCUAUUUUUUGGGCAGCAAGCCUGAAGUAUUGUCCCAAACUGAUGCGUCAGUAGAAGAGGUUUUGGAACAAACUGAUAAAUUAAACAGUCACCAGGACCAGAUGGUAUUCACCCAAGAGUUCUGAAGGAACUCUCAUAUGAAAUUGCAGAACUACUAACUGUGGUAUGUAACUUAAAUCGGCCUCUGUACCAGAUGUUUGGAGGAUAGCUAAUGUAACACCAAUUUUUAAAAAAGGGUCCAAAGGAGAUCUUGACAAUUACAGGCCAGUAAGCCUAACUUUAGUAUCAGGCAGAUUGACUGAAACUACACUACAGAACAGAAUUAUCAGACAAAUACAUGAACAUGAUAUGUUGAGGGAAGAGUCAAUGUGGCUUUUGUAAAGGGAAAUCAUGCCUCACCAAUCUAUUA
This 1447-nucleotide long non-coding RNA is filed under the name Chrysemys picta bellii (western painted turtle). RNAcentral's name for it is "lncRNA (ENSCPBG00000024139.1)". The record is from RNAcentral. Lineage: Eukaryota; Metazoa; Chordata; Testudines; Emydidae.